RNAcentral lists this long non-coding RNA (1187 nucleotides) under Equus caballus (horse). Its description in RNAcentral is "lncRNA (ENSECAG00000056508.1)". The record is from RNAcentral. Lineage: Eukaryota; Metazoa; Chordata; Mammalia; Perissodactyla; Equidae.
GGAACCCAGAAGUUUGAGAGAGUGUGUCUAGAGUUCUGAAGGUAGCAGUCAACUUAGAUAUCUACAUCCAGAAAAAAGUAUCUUUCAAGAAUGAGAGCGAAGAAGUCAUUUUCAGGAAAAAUCUAAAAAUAAAAGGAAGAAAUAUGCUACAAUUGGAUCACCUUAAAAGUCAUUCUGAAAGGUAGAUAAACUUCAGGAAGCUAGUCUGACAAAGGAAGGGAUGAUGAGCAGUCCAAGAUGAGACCCAAGGUAUAGUCUGGCCCUUUCUUCAAGCUAGCACUUGAAGUGGCUGCUGGGGAAGAAGAGACAACCUGCAAGCUGUGUAACCUUAUGAGCUCAAACGUCUCUUUCCAACAUGGGAACUGCAGUGUCAGCACUAGAAGCACCGCAUAACAUGGGCCCAUCAGUUCCUGCUCAAUGCAGACAGUAACCAGAGAGUUUCUAUGCUAUCUGCAGGAUACAUCUAUCAUGAGCCCUUUGUAACAAAUGGAGCCGUGAUUCCCUCUGCAGCAAGAUAGCCCCACGUUGCCACAGGGCUCCACAUCAGUAAUUGCUGGGAUCUUUGAAUGCGGUAGAAAAGCUAACCCAAUGUGAUUGAAGUCCUCCUAAGAAGAGGAGAUCAAUCAGGACGCAGACACACACUGGGGGAAGACCAUGUGAGGAUACACGGAGAAGGCGGCCGUCUGCAAGCUAGAGAGAGAGGCUUCAAAAGAGACUGACCCGGCCAACACUUUGAUCUCAAACUUGUAGCCUCCAAUGCUAUGAGGAAAUAAAUUUCUGUCACUGAAGCCCCCAGUCCGUCGUACUUUGUUAUGGCAGCCUUAGGAAACUAAUACAAUGCCCAGAAUAAAUGUAAUGUUCCUGCAAAUUCAUAACACAGAGAUUGGACUUAAUUUACAUAAUCUAGUGCUUAGUAAUUAUUUGAUGAUAAUGAUGAUGGUGAUGUUAAUCACAAAUAUAAAAGUUCAGCAAUGGUUCGAUCAUUUAUGUAGCUGGAUACCUGCAUCAGGGUGCUUGGAUUAUAUCUGAACAGCUGAAACACGAGCCUAAAGCCAAGCAGAGUGCUAUCACACUCUGCCGGACAUCAGACGGCCAGGGCUGAGUCCCAGGUCUGCUGACUAUUUACAGGGGAAAUCGCCUGGGUCAUUUUCUAUCCUGAACUUCAGUUUUCUCUGCAGAAAAAUAAG